UACGUAGGGGGCAAGCGUUGUCCGGAUUUAUUGGGCGUAAAGAGCUCGUAGGUGGUUUGGUUAGUCGGAUGUGAAAUCUCCAGGCUCAACCUGGAGGGGUCAUUCGAUACUGCCAUGACUAGAGGUCGGUAGGGGAGUGUGGAAUUCCUGGUGGAGCGGUGAAAUGCGCAGAUAUCAGGAGGAACACCCGUAGCGAAGGCGGCACUCUGGGCCGAUACUGACACUGAGGAGCGAAAGCCAGGGGAGCAAACGGG
This 254-nucleotide ribosomal RNA is filed under the name uncultured bacterium. Its description in RNAcentral is "partial 16S ribosomal RNA". It matches the Rfam family "Bacterial small subunit ribosomal RNA", at positions 524 to 776 of the family's 1533-position model. The record is from RNAcentral.